UCCCUGGUGGUCCAGUGGUUAAGAAUCUGCCUUCCAAUGCAGGGGACUCAGGUUCAAUCCCUGGUCAGGGAA
RNAcentral lists this transfer RNA (72 nucleotides) under Delphinapterus leucas (beluga whale). It matches the Rfam family "tRNA". From Rfam's summary of the family: Transfer RNA (tRNA) molecules are approximately 80 nucleotides in length. The record is from Rfam by way of RNAcentral. RNAcentral also lists the same sequence under 3 other names. Lineage: Eukaryota; Metazoa; Chordata; Mammalia; Artiodactyla; Monodontidae.